This 1638-nucleotide long non-coding RNA is filed under the name Lytechinus variegatus (green sea urchin). RNAcentral describes it as "uncharacterized LOC121407430". The record is from RNAcentral. Lineage: Eukaryota; Metazoa; Echinodermata; Echinoidea; Temnopleuroida; Toxopneustidae.
GCACGAGCAUCAAUUUUUCUCUGCAUAAACCAAAAAAGAAUACAAAAUGUCUGUAAAUCUGUUCACCGUGAUAAACAAAUUUUAUGAUGAAUACACGACGAGAACGCCACUUAAGUUGAAAAUAAUUGAUGCAUACCUGACGUAUAUUCUGUUGACUGGGGUUGUGCAAUUUGUCUACUGUGCACUUGUUGGCACUUUCCCGUUCAACUCUUUCCUCUCGGGAUUCAUUUCCAGUGUCGGAUCCUUCGUGCUCGCCGUAUGUCUGAGAUUGCAAGUCAACCCAGCAAAUAAAUCCAGUUUUCAGGGAAUUUCAACAGAGCGUGCCUUUGCAGAUUUCAUCUUUGCCAGUGUAAUUCUUCAUUUAGUAGUCAUGAACUUCAUUGGCUAGUGCUUAAGCAGGAAGUUUUGUUUUCACAGAUUAUUUAGAGGUAGACUAGUACAGACAUCAUGGAUCCCCUCUCUGGAGUAUUUUCAUCUCAUUUAUGGUCUCUUAUGAUAACAUUUCGGCAGUUCGAUUAGAAUCACAUUCCUAUCCUAAAGGAGAGAAAUGAUGUCCAGAUUCUAGAAUACUAUUAGUUCAAAAUUGCAAGAACAUGUAGGGGCAUUAUCUAUGUUGCACUACAGGUAGCACUUUUUCAAUGAAAGGGCAAGACUAAUUACUUCAUUAAAAGAAUAAACAAAUUUCUUUCCCGUAUUUAUGGUCACAAUUAAAUACACUUUCAAACACCCUAACUGACAUCUAUUUGUACAGGGCAUUUCAAUGAAAAAGAAACCCAAUUUUUGCAAUUGUUUGAGGCAAAAUUAUCAAAUCAGUUGAAAGUUUAUAUCACUUCCACACUUCCAAAAAUGAUUUAUCGUCAUUCCAAAGAUACUUGAAAAAGGUUUCUAGGACCAUGCAUCACUCAAUGCCAUUGUUCUUAAAAAAAAACAAUUGGUUGAUUUGCAUUGUAAAUUGAUAGACAUAUGAAGUGUGCAUCAUGAUAGCACAACAUUGCUUAGAUAAAUAAGCAUUUAUAUUGAAAUUUAUUAAAUGGUAGCAGUUUCUAAAGGGGGGGGGGAUAAAAAAAAAAAAAAGAUUAGGGGACAGAAAGAAGUAGUCUGAUGUUUCUUGAUAUAUCAAUUUUCAUUGCAUCCAAUGUGUUGAACUGUUGAUCAUGCAAGUAAACCAAGCACAAUUUUACAAAGUAUCUCAACAAUGGAAGCAUGGUCACAGAAACAAUUAAGGUACCAUUGGAAUGAGAAUAAGAUGUACACUUUUGAAAUUCAUGAUUUUUAAUGUCACUAUUAUAUUUUUCUUUGGAAAAUACAUGAAAACUAGGUUUCCAUUGCAUGUAUUUGUUCAUUUACCUGUGAAGUCUUUAAGUCAUAUUUCAGCCAUCAUUGGUAUAAAGUGCAUAAUGUCUUUAAGUAUUCUUGCAGAAUAACUUCUGGCAAUGAAUGUGGGUUUUGUUUUUCAUGAAGGAUAUGGCAGUUUAAAUCCUUUCAUGUCUUUGUAAAAAAAACGACCAAAUGCCUCCUGUAGUCUAGUAGUGAUGAAUUUUUAAAAAGUAAUUUGCGUAUCAUUCUUGGUAUAAUAUAAUAUCUUGGAUUUAUAAAAUCGUAAUUAAAAAUAAAAGAACAAAAAAGAUAUUUGCACAU